Molecule: non-coding RNA, 1078 nt
Organism: Ceratotherium simum simum (southern white rhinoceros)
Lineage: Eukaryota; Metazoa; Chordata; Mammalia; Perissodactyla; Rhinocerotidae
Source: RefSeq, a predicted model, not a curated record
GACUACAUUACGGAGGGAAGGAAAAAAAUUGAGGCAAGUUGGUAUUACACAACCUAAGGUGAAUUUACUUAAAAACAGCUUUUUAGGGAACUGAAGGCUUAACUGCCUUUCACCCAAACUUUCAGUAAGAAAUGCAAAAAGAAAGUUAAAAUGAGGCAGUUUAGAGGUGGUAUUUCUCUUCUUUAACUUUCUUUCUUGGCCAGUCCCUAAGAUGUUUCAAUGAAACACCAAAUAAACAAUCAAUCUCUAGCUGCAAAACCAUACUCCAAGCUGCAAGUUUAUAAGGAGCCUUAAAAAGAUUUAAAUCCUGACAGAAACAAGUGAAGUCAGUUGUUGAAAGAUUUUUUUAUUCUACAAGCAUUGAUGGGUGCAAUCCUGCAGAACCAUCUGUUUAAUUUAGAGAAAUUUCUUUUUCUUUUCAAAAGUAAAUGAAAAACCCCUUUGAAUUAUUUAUAUAUUAAUUCAUUUAACUUUUAAAAACAAGUCAGUCUGCUUUGUCCUAUUUAACUACAAAUGUUACAUAUUUACAAACUGAAGCAAAAAUGGAUAGCAUAGAGAUUUAAAUGAAGAGAAUAAAAAUGUUUUUCAGUGCACUGUAUUUUAAAGUUGAUUAUCAUCAAGCCAGGAUGAAGUUGUGAACCACAAACCAUUUGUUUCUUUAAUAGAAAAAAGGAUGUUUAUAUUAUUAGCAAAGUAAUAUCUUAAAAUGUAUCUUCACACAGUUGAAGUUUUAGUAUAAACUUGUAUAUCAAGUCCCUUUCCAUUAUUUAUUCUACUUUAAAAAUACAUACAGCUAAUGAUGAUUAAAUAUGUAUUCUGAGCCAUAUGUCCAAACACAAAUAUUUGAGAAAUUCAAACUGUUGCAACAAGUUAUGAAAGGAUUAAAGGAAAAAGAUGAGCUACAAAUUAUAUAGUAAGAGGAAGGAAAAAAAGUUCUUGUUAUGUCUGGAUAGAUAUGUAUUUUCUAAUUUCUAUAUACCCAGUUGAGUACAGAUAGCUAUCAAACUUCAACCAGUUACAUAUAGACUAGACCAAGUCUGUACUAUUUUCUACAACAGGUCAGAAUGAUUAUUUCAAC